Molecule: ribosomal RNA, 903 nt
Filed under: Triticum aestivum (bread wheat)
Lineage: Eukaryota; Viridiplantae; Streptophyta; Magnoliopsida; Poales; Poaceae
Description: partial small subunit ribosomal RNA
Source: RNAcentral
AUGGAACUCCAAGAGAGCUUCGAUGUUGAGCCUUUGUUUUCCACCCCCACCGACACCGACUGGGGGAUCCCGAUGUCCCCUCUUCCUCUUCCUCUUCCUCUUCCUGUCCCACCCAGCAGCAGCCAUAUGAUUAUGGACAGCUUGGCCGGAGUACUUUGUAGAUGUAGUUUCUGGCGUUGGUGGGAUUUGCGUACACCAAAUGGGUUUUGGAAAAAACAGACAAGCGACAGGGUGAUCAGGGCGGGACACAACGGGGUUGUCGGGGUCAAGAGGACCAUCAAGUUUCACCCUUCCCCGCCCACGUCCACGGGAGAUGAUGCAUUGCCGUUGCCGGGCACCAACACCAACUGGAUCAUGAACGUCUACUAUUAUUGUCUCCACGGAUCUGUCCAGCAUGGUUUAGUCCUGUGCCAUGUAUUCGAGACAGACUCAACCGACUACGACGACACUCCCAAAUGCAUCAGCGUCGGAUGCCAUCCAGGAUCUUGCAAUGGAAACCACAGUGGUCAAGCAUUCGGAGCUCCAAGCAGCAACGCUUUAUCCAAUUCAACACAUCCAGGAUUAAACUCUUACAUUGCAGAACUUGGGAACCUCUUGCUCGGUGACCCUGGUGACCAUGACAACUCCGCAGAUACUGCAAACUCUAGUGCAACAGCAGGCGCACCUCCAAAAGCUGACCAUGGGCUCUCGAAAAAGCGCAAGAAGACCUCGGAUGUUUGGGAUUACUUCACCAAGAUAUUUGCACGCGACAUCAACGGGAAGGUGCUGACAUUCGCGGCGUGCAACCACUGCUGCAAGAUACUAACAGGCAGUUCCAAGGGUGGCACCACACACCUCGCAAGGCACGCGUGCCCGUGCAAGCUCAAACCAGUAGAAGCUGGCAGAAAUGCCAAGGAUUCCUAA